This 1554-nucleotide ribosomal RNA is filed under the name Staphylococcus aureus. RNAcentral describes it as "16S ribosomal RNA". It matches the Rfam family "Bacterial small subunit ribosomal RNA". The record is from RNAcentral. Lineage: Bacteria; Bacillati; Bacillota; Bacilli; Caryophanales; Staphylococcaceae.
UUUAUGGAGAGUUUGAUCCUGGCUCAGGAUGAACGCUGGCGGCGUGCCUAAUACAUGCAAGUCGAGCGAACGGACGAGAAGCUUGCUUCUCUGAUGUUAGCGGCGGACGGGUGAGUAACACGUGGAUAACCUACCUAUAAGACUGGGAUAACUUCGGGAAACCGGAGCUAAUACCGGAUAAUAUUUUGAACCGCAUGGUUCAAAAGUGAAAGACGGUCUUGCUGUCACUUAUAGAUGGAUCCGCGCUGCAUUAGCUAGUUGGUAAGGUAACGGCUUACCAAGGCAACGAUGCAUAGCCGACCUGAGAGGGUGAUCGGCCACACUGGAACUGAGACACGGUCCAGACUCCUACGGGAGGCAGCAGUAGGGAAUCUUCCGCAAUGGGCGAAAGCCUGACGGAGCAACGCCGCGUGAGUGAUGAAGGUCUUCGGAUCGUAAAACUCUGUUAUUAGGGAAGAACAUAUGUGUAAGUAACUGUGCACAUCUUGACGGUACCUAAUCAGAAAGCCACGGCUAACUACGUGCCAGCAGCCGCGGUAAUACGUAGGUGGCAAGCGUUAUCCGGAAUUAUUGGGCGUAAAGCGCGCGUAGGCGGUUUUUUAAGUCUGAUGUGAAAGCCCACGGCUCAACCGUGGAGGGUCAUUGGAAACUGGAAAACUUGAGUGCAGAAGAGGAAAGUGGAAUUCCAUGUGUAGCGGUGAAAUGCGCAGAGAUAUGGAGGAACACCAGUGGCGAAGGCGACUUUCUGGUCUGUAACUGACGCUGAUGUGCGAAAGCGUGGGGAUCAAACAGGAUUAGAUACCCUGGUAGUCCACGCCGUAAACGAUGAGUGCUAAGUGUUAGGGGGUUUCCGCCCCUUAGUGCUGCAGCUAACGCAUUAAGCACUCCGCCUGGGGAGUACGACCGCAAGGUUGAAACUCAAAGGAAUUGACGGGGACCCGCACAAGCGGUGGAGCAUGUGGUUUAAUUCGAAGCAACGCGAAGAACCUUACCAAAUCUUGACAUCCUUUGACAACUCUAGAGAUAGAGCCUUCCCCUUCGGGGGACAAAGUGACAGGUGGUGCAUGGUUGUCGUCAGCUCGUGUCGUGAGAUGUUGGGUUAAGUCCCGCAACGAGCGCAACCCUUAAGCUUAGUUGCCAUCAUUAAGUUGGGCACUCUAAGUUGACUGCCGGUGAUAAACCGGAGGAAGGUGGGGAUGACGUCAAAUCAUCAUGCCCCUUAUGAUUUGGGCUACACACGUGCUACAAUGGACAAUACAAAGGGCAGCGAAACCGCGAGGUCAAGCAAAUCCCAUAAAGUUGUUCUCAGUUCGGAUUGUAGUCUGCAACUCGACUACAUGAAGCUGGAAUCGCUAGUAAUCGUAGAUCAGCAUGCUACGGUGAAUACGUUCCCGGGUCUUGUACACACCGCCCGUCACACCACGAGAGUUUGUAACACCCGAAGCCGGUGGAGUAACCUUUUAGGAGCUAGCCGUCGAAGGUGGGACAAAUGAUUGGGGUGAAGUCGUAACAAGGUAGCCGUAUCGGAAGGUGCGGCUGGAUCACCUCCUUUCU